GUCAAGAUAUAUAAAACAAUAUAAACAUGGAAAAUUUAACUUUUUUUAAAGCUAUUUUUUUAAUUGCUUGUAAGAAAAUGAACUUUGUUUUGAAAUCUUUGAUGUGCUGCAUAUUAAACUUAGAAUAUGUUUUGUGUUAGUCUUUGUAAAAUGUGAAGUAUUAAAUUUAUUUAUUUUCAUGUGAACAAAUUAACCUAAAUAGGUGAAAUGUAUUUAAAUGCAGGGGUUGGAGAUUGAAGGGGAGUUGCCUGAGAAAAAGACUUGUUAUGAAGGAGUAUUUUAUAAUUACUUUAGCAUAGGAAUGGAUGCUCAGGUGGCUUACGGCUUUCAUCAUUUACGUAAUGAGAAACCUUACCUGGCACAAGGACCAAUUUCUAAUAAGCUGAUCUAUUCUGGUUAUAGUUGCGAUCAAGGGUGGUUCUUUACACCUUGUACAAGUGAUCC
Humulus lupulus (European hop) is the source of this 444-nucleotide long non-coding RNA. RefSeq lists it as uncharacterized. The record is from RefSeq and is a predicted model, not a curated record. NCBI's taxonomy places the organism in Eukaryota, Viridiplantae, Streptophyta, Magnoliopsida, Rosales, Cannabaceae. The transcript has 3 exons.